AGUUUGAUCCUGGCUCAGGACGAACGCUAGCUACAGGCUUAACACAUGCAAGUCGAGGGGCAGCAUUGGGAUAGCUUGCUAUUCCAGAUGGCGACCGGCGCACGGGUGAGUAACGCGUAUCCAACCUUCCCCUUAGUAGGGCAUAGCCCGGCGAAAGUCGGAUUAAUACCCUAUGUUGUAUAUUGAGGACAUCUGACUUAUACCAAAGAUUCAUCGCUAAGGGAUGGGGAUGCGUCCGAUUAGGCAGCAGGCGGGGCAACGGCCCACCUGGCCUACGAUCGGUAGGGGUUCUGAGAGGAAGGUCCCCCACAUUGGAACUGAGACACGGUCCAAACUCCUACGGGAGGCAGCAGUGAGGAAUAUUGGUCAAUGGGCGCGAGCCUGAACCAGCCAAGUAGCGUGGGGGAUGACUGCCCUAUGGGUUGUAAACCCCUUUUGCGCGGGGAUAAACCGGCGGACGCGUCCGCCGCUGCAGGUACCGCGCGAAUAAGGACCGGCUAAUUCCGUGCC
This 510-nucleotide ribosomal RNA is filed under the name uncultured organism. Its description in RNAcentral is "SSU rRNA". It matches the Rfam family "Bacterial small subunit ribosomal RNA", at positions 10 to 509 of the family's 1533-position model. The record is from RNAcentral.